UGUUAAUGGAACAAUGCUUGAAGACAGAAUGAUUACUUGUUUCUUAUAUUUUGUAUAUAUCAUU
Ficedula albicollis (Collared flycatcher) is the source of this 64-nucleotide regulatory RNA element. It matches the Rfam family "FIE3 (ftz instability element 3') element". Rfam says of the family: The fushi tarazu gene is essential for the establishment of the Drosophila embryonic body plan. When first expressed in early embryogenesis, fushi tarazu mRNA is uniformly distributed over most of the embryo. Lineage: Eukaryota; Metazoa; Chordata; Aves; Passeriformes; Muscicapidae. The record is from Rfam.